This 73-nucleotide transfer RNA is filed under the name Podarcis lilfordi (Lilford's wall lizard). RNAcentral's name for it is "tRNA.Ile". It matches the Rfam family "tRNA". From Rfam's summary of the family: Transfer RNA (tRNA) molecules are approximately 80 nucleotides in length. The record is from RNAcentral. Lineage: Eukaryota; Metazoa; Chordata; Lepidosauria; Squamata; Lacertidae.
GCUCAGUAGCUCAGUUGGGUAGAGCAUGGUGCUGAUAACACCAAGGUCUCAGGUUCGAUCCCCAGAUGAGACA